CAGCCGCCACGGUAAUACAGAGGGUGCGAGCGUUAAUCGGAUUUACUGGGCGUAAAGCGUGCGUAGGCGGCUUUUUAAGUCGGAUGUGAAAUCCCUGAGCUUAACUUAGGAAUUGCAUUCGAUACUGGGAAGCUAGAGUAUGGGAGAGGAUGGUAGAAUUCCAGGUGUAGCGGUGAAAUGCGUAGAGAUCUGGAGGAAUACCGAUGGCAAAGGCAGCCAUCUGGCCUAAUACUGACGCUGAGGUACGAAAGCAUGGGGAGCAAACAGGAUUAGAUACCCCGGUAGUCCCUGUCUCUUAUAC
This 301-nucleotide ribosomal RNA is filed under the name uncultured bacterium. RNAcentral's name for it is "partial 16S ribosomal RNA". It matches the Rfam family "Bacterial small subunit ribosomal RNA", at positions 509 to 807 of the family's 1533-position model. The record is from RNAcentral.